RNAcentral lists this ribosomal RNA (250 nucleotides) under uncultured prokaryote. RNAcentral's name for it is "partial 16S ribosomal RNA". It matches the Rfam family "Bacterial small subunit ribosomal RNA", at positions 524 to 773 of the family's 1533-position model. The record is from RNAcentral.
UACGUAGGGGGCAAGCGUUAUCCGGGUUUACUGGGUGUAAAGGGAGCGCAGACGGCAGCGCAAGUCUGAUGUGAAAUCCCGGGGCUCAACCCCGGAACUGCAUUGGAAACUGCGCAGCUCGAGUAUCGGAGAGGUAAGCGGAAUUCCUAGUGUAGCGGUGAAAUGCGUAGAUAUUAGGAGGAACACCGGCGGCGAAGGCGGCUUACUGGACGAAGACUGACGUUGAGGCUCGAAAGCGUGGGGAGCAAAC